UACGGAGGGUGCAAGCGUUGUCCGGAUUUAUUGGGUUUAAAGGGUGCGUAGGCGGUUCUUUAAGUCAGUGGUGAAAUACUGCAGCUCAACUGUAGCAUUGCCAUUGAUACUGAAGAACUUGAGUACAGAUGAGGUAGGCGGAAUUUAUGGUGUAGCGGUGAAAUGCAUAGAUAUCAAGAGGAACACCUGAGGUGAAGACGGGUUGCUAGGCUGACACUGACGCUGAGGCGCGAAAGCCAGGGGAGCAAACGGG
Molecule: ribosomal RNA, 253 nt
Filed under: uncultured bacterium
Lineage: Bacteria
Description: partial 16S ribosomal RNA
Rfam family: Bacterial small subunit ribosomal RNA
Source: RNAcentral